RNAcentral lists this ribosomal RNA (582 nucleotides) under Triticum aestivum (bread wheat). RNAcentral describes it as "partial small subunit ribosomal RNA". The record is from RNAcentral. Lineage: Eukaryota; Viridiplantae; Streptophyta; Magnoliopsida; Poales; Poaceae.
AUGGCUGGAGAUCAUCCGCUGAGAAGUGGUAUGAUCCUAGAGGUCGAAGAUGGUGUUUUUUCGCAAAAGAUUACUCACCUAGCCACAGUCAGGCUUGCCCAGGCUCAAAGUCCGGCUGGCUCCGCCACAGAAAUGCAGUGUCCGAUUGGUUUCAGCAUGAUUGAGCACGUCCAAAGCUCUGAUGUGCUGGAGAAGUGUACAAAAGAUAUUCUCUCCAUAAUCAAGCCAACAGAGGACGAUCGGAACAAACGACUGCAUGUAAUUCAGGAGAUUGUGAAUUCCAUCUCUUUAGUUGGUGGCUUAGGCGAUGCUGCUGUCAAACCUUUUGGAUCCUUUCUAUCAGAACUCUACACAAAAUCAGGCGAUUUGGAUGUAUCAGUUGAGCUGCCAAAUGUCUCAGGCUUCUCUACAAGCAAGGAAAAGAAGCAAAAUCUCUUGAGAGAACUAAUGAAAGCUUUACAAAUUAGUGGUGUUGCUAGAGAUGUGAACUUCAUUCCUACUGCAAGAGUUCCAGUUCUUCAAUAUGUGAGCAACCACUUUGGCAUUUCCUGUGAUAGAUCCAUCAAUAACUACCCUGGUUGA